RNAcentral lists this long non-coding RNA (1913 nucleotides) under Nicotiana tabacum (common tobacco). RNAcentral's name for it is "long non-coding RNA (NTAB_LNC005709)". The record is from RNAcentral. Lineage: Eukaryota; Viridiplantae; Streptophyta; Magnoliopsida; Solanales; Solanaceae.
UUGUGGCCAAAAAUGAUUUGCCAAUUAAAAUUCCCAAAUUUUAUGCAAAAGGCGGGAGGACUUCCCCCUCUUUCUUUUUGUUUUUGGGCAAACCCUUCCCCUCUUUUGUCCCAACCCUUCCCCAAUUCCCCCAAACGCUCCAGCUUCCAAAGAAUAAGAUCUGAAUGAUCCUUUGGCCUUCCCUCAACCCAAAAUUCCUCUCUCAACCCAAAAUUAGGGCUUGAAAUGGUAAGCUUCUUCCCCUCUUUUUCAAGGUUAGGUUUUUAUUUGAUUUUCAUGUAAAUUUAUAGAAAAUUUGUUAGAUUUGCUAAACUUUGGGUACAAAUGGAUCCUUAUACUUCCGCAACUCGAAUGCUUUAUCACUGGCAGAAUAACUUCAUGACUUACUAUCAAAUCCAAAAAAUUUCGGUUAAAAUAGAAAAUACAAUUACCAGAAUGUAUUAUUUUCUAUCUAUGUAUCAGUUUAAAAGGCACUGAAAUAAUUGUAGGUUGCAGCUCAAUUGAUGUGGAGGAUUUCGAGAAAAUUUAUCUGCACUUCCCAUAUGCAUUAUCUCAUUGUUUAAUUUUCUAACUUAUUAGGUUUAUCUUGGUUGAGCAUUCCCAACUACAUACCUCUUGGCAUGUUUCUUCAUAAACCUUUUCAAGCACUUCCAUGAUUAAAUUUAUGAAGUUGGGAUGUUUUUUGAUUUGGAAUUAGUCUAUUAGAAUAUAUAUUAUAUUUUCUUUUCAUUGUAAUUAUUUAUCUAGGGACAAAUAUGCAUCUAAUUUAUAGGUGUUGUAUGUUUUACCAAAUUUCAACUUAACAGAAUUUUGUUGUUAUAGCACUAUAAUGAAAAACCUUUCAUUCCUUGUUUAUGUGAUUUACUUUGCAUUGUUGAAGCCUUCUUUUACUUAUUUGUUAAACUUUUUCUUUUUUAUUGAACAUAUUAGCAAUUUGUUAAAUCUUAUGUGCAGGGGUGAGGGGCUAAUAUUGAGGUUAGACUCUUAAUGUCACUUCAAUUGAAUGACCUUAUAUCUUUAAAUUUUUUGUGCAUUUGUCCUAUAAGCUCGUUGCAGAUAAAUAUUCUUUUUAGUAAUCUUGUAUGGCUAGGGAUAUGGUUAAGACAGUAAUAAUUUUAUAUAACACGAAAACUCUGGCCUAAGCAUCUUUUGCUUCUCUUUUAGAUUGACAACUUAAUAUCAGCUAUGCCAUAUACAAUUUUAUUCUUUUUUAGGGGGGUGGGGUUGGCAAAGUUGGGUGAAGAAUAGUUAGCUGUCCGCUUAAUUUUUUCUUUUAUAAGUAAUAUUCAGUUUGUUUUCAUUUUGAACUCUUAAAUGAUAUUCAUUAUUCUUUUAUCUUAAGAAUGGUGCCUACACAUAAUACUAUUAUGUUUUUUUAAGUUUCAGAGUAACCUUUUUAUAUAUGGUGGCUCUUUCCAUAUGCAUCACUAGUACAUGUAUUCUUAUAUCGAUAUUAAUUUUUGUCAUUAACAAACAGAUAUUUGGAAACAAGAGAGGUUGCUCUAAUGGUAAGAAACCUCCACUUCCAACCAAGAGGUUGUGAGUUCGAGUCUUCCCAAGAGCAAGGUGGGAAGUUCUUGGAGGGAAGGAUGCCGGAGGUCUAUUUGGAAGCCUCUCUACCCAAUAGUAGGGGUAAAGUCAGCGUACACACUACCCUUCCCAGACCCCACUAAAUAGUAUACUUUGUUGUUGUUGUUGUUGUUGUUGUUAUUGUUGUAACAAACGGAUAUUGUAUAUUUACUUUAAUAAGAGAUGAGAACAUGUAAAAUGAUUACAAAAUCUUUUUACCUUUGAAUUUGUUAAUGGUGAACUCUUCGUACUCCAUAGAGGGAUAUGCAAAGGUAUCAACAUUCUGUAUUAGUACUACACUUGAACUUUAUUUUUUUCUUACUCUAACUUGCAUCUUUUUCAGC